This 321-nucleotide ribosomal RNA is filed under the name Triticum aestivum (bread wheat). Its description in RNAcentral is "partial small subunit ribosomal RNA". The record is from RNAcentral. Lineage: Eukaryota; Viridiplantae; Streptophyta; Magnoliopsida; Poales; Poaceae.
AUGCUACUAGCUGUUUAUUCUUCUGUCCUUUUCCAUUUUUUGUAUUUAAUUUAUGAUUUUUGGCGGAUCAAUCAUGAUUCACAGAUACAACAUUCGAUUCAAUUGCAGCCGCUGUUUGCCGCAAACAUUUCCAUGAAAUUUGUAUGUUCAGUUGAAUUUAUUCGGCAAGUUUUUUUUGUUUUUCCACCCUAUCUAUCUAGCUCUGUUCAACAACAAAUCUUCGUCAUUUUAAGUCUUGGCGUAUGCAAAACGAUGCCAAAUCCAGCCAGUGCAAACUCCAAUUACUCGUUUUGCCAGCAAAAGUCUUCCCACUAUCAAUGA